AGCGAACGCUGGCGGCAGGCUUAACACAUGCAAGUCGAACGGUCCUUCGGGAUAGUGGCGGACGGGUGAGUAACACGUGGGAACGUGCCCUUAGGUUCGGAACAACACAGGGAAACUUGUGCUAAUACCGGAUGUGCCCUUCGGGGGAAAGAUUUAUCGCCUUUGGAGCGGCCCGCGUCUGAUUAGCUAGUUGGUGAGGUAAAGGCUCACCAAGGCGACGAUCAGUAGCUGGUCUGAGAGGAUGGCCAGCCACAUUGGGACUGAGACACGGCCCAAACUCCUACGGGAGGCAGCAGUGGGGAAUCUUGCGCAAUGGGCGAAAGCCUGACGCAGCCAUGCCGCGUGGAUGAUGAAGGUCUUAGGAUUGUAAAAUCCUUUCAGCGGGGACGAUAAUGACGGUACCCGCAGAAGAAGCCCCGGCUAACUUCGUGCCAGCCGCCGCCGUAA
Molecule: ribosomal RNA, 447 nt
Filed under: uncultured bacterium
Lineage: Bacteria
Description: partial 16S ribosomal RNA
Rfam family: Bacterial small subunit ribosomal RNA
Source: RNAcentral